AGUAUUGCAUGUAGUUUGAAGACAAAGGGAAUUGCUAAACUAAGACUUGGAUAACGUUAGCACAGGACAUCUCAGUUAUGUGUCGAGGUCGACGAGUUUAGGCUGUAUAGUGGAGUACCGAAUCAUGAGAAAGUCGAACAAAUCGAUUUAGACUUUCUAAACAUUUAUACAAUUAAUAACUUGCAAAUAUUCGGGACAUAUGACACGAAUUAAGUCAUGCAAAAUAUCAUAGAACAUGUGUUUAAAGUCUUCAAUAUAAGUUGCACAAGUAGCUAAAUGUGAUCCACACUGGCUUUGAGUAAGGCCAGUAUGUCUAUAUUACGCGGAUAACUCAACACGUCAGCCACUACAGGGACUGAAAUUACUGCAACACCUAACAAAAAGCUGCAGUUAGUUUCGGGAAUGGGUCGCAAGGAAUAAGUUAGUCCUAAAUAUUUCCAAAACUAAAAACAUUGUAUUUGGAACAAGUCGUAAUGAAAUUGAGCAAGUUGAGGUGACUAAACUGCUUUGCGUAACCAUGGAUUAGUCAAAACAUAUUGAUACAACAGUAGCUAAAAUGGGGAGAAGUCUGUCCGUAAUAAAGCACUGCUCUGCCUUCUUAACAACACUAUCAACAAGGUAGGUCCUACAGGCCCUGGUUUUGUCGCUCCUGGGCCCUGUUUCAGAAAGCAGGUCUAACAAACUCUGAGUUUAAACCCGAACUCUGAACUGUCAAACUAUUGAGUUUUCUUUUCAGAACAGCUGAUAACAAUUAGUUCAAUCAACUCUGUUAAAUUAACCCUGAGUAAAGCACGUGCAUGAGGAGAUAAAAAGCCCUCAUGAAUGGAACACAGAUAACAUGAUUCAUCAUCACAACAGGAGAAAAAAAAUAUCGAACCUCCUACUUAUCCCUAGUGGAGUUAGAAAUAUUAAUGAAUGCGUAUACAGAUGAUGAAUAUAUUGUAACGACCCUGGGUUUAUAAGCGCGGACAUCGACUCUGCCGCACGAGCAUGCUUUUGCGGCACAGUCGAUAGCGCGCCAGACCUCUGUCUCGAAGGUCGGGGGUGACCUGCUUCCUGCUGUUUCAUUACAAAAUAUUUAAGUAAAGAAGUAGCAACAGCAAAAUAACGUGAGCUGGCGUGGCAGAAAGUUGCUGACCGAGUCAAUGUGUGCAACCCAACAUGCAGAAAACGUAUUUGGCAUCAACUGAAGAUGAAAUAUAAAAAAUAUACUUCAAACGGGUAAGCCAAUAGAAAAAAGGCUGAGGGCUGAAGAAAAGGUGGGGGUCCACCACCACUCCGGCUAAAGAGAUGGCCCUCAGUCAAAACAGUGGGAGACCUAUUGCUAAAGGCAUCUCUGGAGGAACCUCAUCUGACCCAACCACCCCAAGGGUGGGCCUACAUAAGAGAUUCUUAGUUGUCCUUCAGACAUCAUAAUCUAUUUUAAGCUACUGAUGGUGUAAUCUGUCUGGUGGAGCCUCCUGCCAUAACAGACCUCCAUGCAGUUGAGAAUGAUGAAGACACCUUGUUAGCUGCCACAGAGGGAAGCUACAGAGAGGCCUAUUGAGAGCAAUGCUGGAAAUUACAAUGAGGAAGAGGGUCUAUCCACCUCCACAGUACAACUUACCUCAGUAAGAUGUUAUUCAGCAUUGGCCCAUGAUUUUACAAUGAAACUAAGUAGACCUGGCACUGUGAAAUUCUAUGUCAUUUUUUUGUGUUCCUAUAGUUCCAUGUGAACAGCUGUACUUAGAGAAACACAUUUAAAGAUGUAAUUUAGAAAUUGACCACAUACGGCUGCAGAUGCAAGAACAUAGAAAUACAACAGCUGGAACAUCAGUUAAAGGUGGGUGAGGUGCAUACAGGUGGAUGAUUUUAGUUGGUUGAACAACAUAAAUAUUAACUACUGUACUGCAUUUGCACUGGCAGGAAAUAAAGACUCCUUCAUAAAAAGAAAGGCAUUGUCUUUGUUUGACACUGGGGAGGUGAUUGGUCAGUCAGAAAUGAUGGUCGCAUAUUGUGUCUCUUCCAUCUGGUGCUUCAGCGGGGUGGUCAGGCUCAUUAUCAGGAUCGUUCACUGGUUGAAUAGGACAUUGUUCUCUAAUUGUGGCAAUGUUGUGGAGAAUCACACAUGCCACACUAAUGUCACAUGCCCUUUCUGGAGUGACCCUGAGAUUACGAAGGUACUGUAACUGGGCCUUGAGCAUCCCAAUGGUCAUCUCUACCAUGGCUCAUGUCCUGCAGUGAGCCAAGUUAUAAUGUUGCUGUGGGCCAGGGUAAGGGGUCAGCAAAUAGGUCUGGCAGGGGUACCCUCUGUCACUGAGCAGGUAACCAUCAAACUCUCCUAUGAUAAUACGGUUUACAUUUUCAGUUGCAAUAGGUGGAAAGAAAAUAAUGAUUAUAAUAGGAUAUAGCUAUAUAUAAACUCACCAUGGGCAAAGCUAGCGCUCAGUGUACACUCACAGAAAAUCUGCGAGUCAUACACAGACCCAAGUCACUUUGCUUCCGCAUUGCUGAUGAUGUGGGCUGCAUCACAUAUAAUCUUCAGUGCAGAACAGUAAUUAGUUGCGGUAGCUGUAUUGUGAAGUAUCUUUCAUUUGGAAGACUUCAUAUUCUCAUAAUCUCCUUCAUUUACUGAAGGAGCUGUGAUGGGAAUAAGAGUGCAAUCUAUGCAGCGAAUCACACAUGGAAGCCCUAAAAUAUAAAAAAUAACUGACUAGACGGAUACAGGGAAUUCUUCUUUGAGUCUUGUGGGUCUGUGACUUGGGAACACUACAAAAGUGCACAGGAAACGUUUCAGUGCAAGAGUCCCAUUUCUGACAAGCCCGACAGACUGUUGCCUUGGACAUAUGCUCAGCGUCACCAAUGUUCUCAACUCCCGUUGGCAACAAAAAAAAAACUAAGUGGAACACAGAAUUUGUUCCGAACUGAGAGCAUGUCCACGAUGUGUCAUAUGAACGAUAUGAGGGCUGAUAAUAUUGUUCAGAUGAAUGAUCCAUGUUGUUUAGCUUGUGAGGUGUGGAAAUACUUUGUUGCUUUUAUGAAUUGUGUUCUGUCUGUAUGCUACGUCUUGUCCUGUUGCUCUGCGUGUGCUCAAUGAUUGUCUAUUGUAUUUUUUUUUUAAUAACCUGUGGUUGAAAAUUAACCGGUGAGUUAUUAGCCCAGUUAUAGAGAAGUAUAGGUCAGCAAUGGGGAGUUACUGCUUCCUACAAAAUGUGUAGGCUACAUUUCAAGAUGUCUUUGAAAAGCCAGUCAGGUAAAACGCUCAUGUCUUAAUUAAAGGAGCAGUGUUGUAUUUUGAAACAGGCUUGAAUAUGCAAAUAAGCCAAUGGGCAGAG
This is a long non-coding RNA of Oncorhynchus keta (chum salmon), 3314 nucleotides long. RefSeq lists it as uncharacterized. Lineage: Eukaryota; Metazoa; Chordata; Actinopteri; Salmoniformes; Salmonidae. The transcript has 7 exons. The record is from RefSeq and is a predicted model, not a curated record.